RNAcentral lists this long non-coding RNA (2048 nucleotides) under Chlamydomonas reinhardtii. RNAcentral's name for it is "long non-coding RNA (CREI_LNC000827)". The record is from RNAcentral. Lineage: Eukaryota; Viridiplantae; Chlorophyta; Chlorophyceae; Chlamydomonadales; Chlamydomonadaceae.
GGUAGUAGAGCGUGAAAGGGGGCAGCCAUUGACGCGCGCGGUUUGGGGUGGGAGUCAGGCAGGACGAGUCAGGAGAGGGCGGUGUAGGAAUGCAGUACCAAAGGAAUGCGUGGGGUGGGGUGGAGGGGGGUGGCUGCAGCUUGGCGUGGCGUGCGGUGCAGGCGGUGUGGAGGAGCGGGUGUGUGUAUGUAUGUAUGUGUGUGUGUAUGUGUGUUUAUGUGUGUGUUUUAUGAUCUGUCCCGCGGUGCCAUCGCAGCGACUGAGCCGUAGACGGCAUGAGCCCCCACGCGACGUUGCGGCAACGGGAGAUAAUCCCGCCGGCCCGUGAAGGCUGCUAUUGUUGCGUCCCAGCGAAACUAUGCGCGGCGUUGCAACGUCGCCGUGCCAGGUUAGAAAAGGACGCCUUCUCCAUGUUGGCAGAUGCAACAUUGCUUUCGUGCUUGCCCUAGAAAUCGCUAUUGCUGUUGCUAUUGCAAGCCUUGCAUGCUGGUGUUGCUUGCGCUGUAUACAUACGUGGGUGCGCGCCAUCCUGCUGAGUGUGGUACACAUGAUCUGUGCACCCCCCGCCCGCCCCCAAACUCCCACCCAAAUUCUUUGUCCCACGGUGCCAUCACAGGGGCGACCUCCACCGCUGUUGGCAGCCGCCCCCGUGCGACGUUGCGGCGGCAGGAGCCCCCGCCGGCCCCGAAAGGCUGCUACUGUUGCGUCCCAGCGAAACUAUGCGCGGCGUUGUAACGUCACCGUGCCAGGUUAGAAAAGGACGCCUUCCAUCUUGCUUCCGUAACAUGCCGCCUGCCUGUUCGCUACCCCUUUCCUUGUGCGUCUGCCGCCCUGCCGCCCCUCCCAUACACACACACACGCACACGCCCUCCCAUCCCCCAUCUCUCCCCCUUCUCCCCACCUGCUCCAGGUCCAGGUCCUGCAGCAGCAUGUCCUUGACGUCGCGCUGGUCCUUCUGCACCAGCACCUCCAGCACGUUGCCGCGCACAGCCUGCAGGGGGCGAGGGGGCCGCGGGGUCCCAUGCACACCAGUUUGGAGGGGUGGCGGGUUGGGGGAUGGCCGGGUGUGGCGUGUUGCGAUGUGACGUGAUGUGAUCGUGCGAUGUGUAGCGUUAUCUACAGCCAGCAGGUUAAUCGCCCGCGCUGUGCGUGCGGCGUGGCGGAGUUAGGGGGCGCACAACAACAUGUCCAGCUGCGACUGUGCGUGUGUAUGUGUGUGUAUGUGUUUUAUGAUCUGUCCCGCGGUGUCAUCGCAGCGACUGAGCCGUGUACGGCGCCAGCCUCCGCGCGACGUUGCGGCGACGGAAACCCCCGCCGGCCCGUAAGGGCUGCCAUUGUUGCGUCCCAGCGAAACUAUGCGCAGCGUUGAAACGUCGCCGUGCCAGGUUAGAAAAGGACGCCUUCCUCUUUGCUCCCCCCCUUUCCGUCACAUGCGUGUGCCGAUGUGUGCUGUAUGCUCAACUAGUGCACAAUUAGAAAAUUGUCCCGCGGUGCCAUCGCAGAGACUGUGCCGUACGCGGCAUCGGCCCCCACGCGACGUUGCGGCGACGGGAGUUAAUCCCGCCGGCCCGUGAAGGCUGCUUUUGUUGCGUCCCAGCGAAACUAUGCGCGGCGUUGCAACGUCGCCGUGCCAGGUUAGAAAAGGACGCCUUUUGGAAUGCUGCAUGCGCCUAUCUCACCAUGCUUUUUAUGAUGCGCCCAUCGCAUUCAUACAACACAUCGUCAAUGCGGGCCCGCUGCGCUCGGGCCCACACGCGCUGCUUUCACAGCCCUCAGCCACCCCACACCUCCCUGCUGCUCUCGCUCUACCACCGUCAGGGCUCCUAUCUUAAUGUCUCCAGACAUUAAUCGGCCAUGUUGGUCGUUUCCUAGACAUUCCUCCCGGGGGCUAAUGUCUGAGGUGAGACUUUGUUGGCCCGGGUUUGGGGCGGGUUUUGUCCGAAUUCCUAUGGAGAAGCCCCCAAACCGCCUUGUGUCCAGACAAAAGACGGCGGCCAUGCGGCCGUUUUUGUCUGGAGCCAGACAUCACCCCGAAAACAAGAUACGAC